AAAUUGAAGAGUUUGAUCAUGGCUCAGAUUGAACGCUGGCGGCAGGCCUAACACAUGCAAGUCGAACGGUAACAGGAAGAAGCUUGCUUCUUUGCU
This 96-nucleotide ribosomal RNA is filed under the name Escherichia coli. RNAcentral describes it as "partial 16S ribosomal RNA". It matches the Rfam family "Bacterial small subunit ribosomal RNA", at positions 1 to 93 of the family's 1533-position model. Lineage: Bacteria; Pseudomonadati; Pseudomonadota; Gammaproteobacteria; Enterobacterales; Enterobacteriaceae. The record is from RNAcentral.